AAGACUAUACUUUCAGGGAUCAUUUCUAUAGUUUGUUACAAAUGAAUGACUAUUAGAAAGAAUAGAAGUCAUCCACAUUACUGA
RNAcentral lists this small nucleolar RNA (84 nucleotides) under Erinaceus europaeus (western European hedgehog). RNAcentral's name for it is "Small nucleolar RNA U3". It matches the Rfam family "Small nucleolar RNA U3", at positions 1 to 82 of the family's 219-position model. From Rfam's summary of the family: Small nucleolar RNAs (snoRNAs) are involved in the processing and modification of rRNA in the nucleolus. There are two main classes of snoRNAs: the box C/D class, and the box H/ACA class. U3 snoRNA is a member of the box C/D class. The record is from Rfam by way of RNAcentral. Lineage: Eukaryota; Metazoa; Chordata; Mammalia; Eulipotyphla; Erinaceidae.